Molecule: ribosomal RNA, 204 nt
Filed under: Triticum aestivum (bread wheat)
Lineage: Eukaryota; Viridiplantae; Streptophyta; Magnoliopsida; Poales; Poaceae
Description: partial small subunit ribosomal RNA
Source: RNAcentral
AUGGUGGCGACACCGUGGUUCGCCGGCAGGAAGAGGCGGUGUAGUGGGGCAACGGGGAUGGACGGAGGAGAUGGGCUCGCUGGCCAGAACGAUGGCACGACGACAAAGGAAGAGGUCGCCGGAGGCGCUUUUGGUGCAGCACGGCUGGAGGUGUGGGCGCCACGGCGGGGAGGUGACGUGGCUCCGGUGGUUGAGGCCGAAUAG